RNAcentral lists this transfer RNA (73 nucleotides) under Rickettsiales bacterium. Its description in RNAcentral is "tRNA-Met". It matches the Rfam family "tRNA". From Rfam's summary of the family: Transfer RNA (tRNA) molecules are approximately 80 nucleotides in length. Their secondary structure includes four short double-helical elements and three loops (D, anti-codon, and T loops). Further hydrogen bonds mediate the characteristic L-shaped molecular structure. tRNAs have two regions of fundamental functional importance: the anti-codon, which is responsible for specific mRNA codon recognition, and the 3' end, to which the tRNAs corresponding amino acid is attached (by aminoacyl-tRNA synthetases). tRNAs cope with the degeneracy of the genetic code in two manners: having more than one tRNA (with a specific anti-codon) for a particular amino acid; and 'wobble' base-pairing, i.e. permitting non-standard base-pairing at the 3rd anti-codon position. Lineage: Bacteria; Pseudomonadati; Pseudomonadota; Alphaproteobacteria; Rickettsiales. The record is from RNAcentral.
AGACUUAUAGUUUAAUGGUUAAAACAUACUGCUCAUAACGGUCAAAAUAAAGGUUCGAAUCCUUUUAAGUCUA